ACAAUUCAAUGUUUCAGAUGGAGACCACAUCAAUCGAUUGAUAGCCUGUUUAUUUAUGGCUAUUCCGUUUUUCGAGAGGGGUGCCUCAAAUAGCAAAUUUCUAAAUUAUUUGAAUAAACAUAUUUUCCCAGUAUUUGACAAGCUUCCUGAAGAACGGAAGGUAGACCUGCUCAAAAACCUCGCAGAGAGUGCACCCUAUACAAUUCCUCAAGAUUCGAGACAAAUCCUUCCCUCUGUUGUUCAACUAUUGAAGAAAUAUAUGCCUCGUCGAAAAGCG
This 277-nucleotide unclassified non-coding RNA is filed under the name Hevea brasiliensis (rubber tree). The record is from RNAcentral. Lineage: Eukaryota; Viridiplantae; Streptophyta; Magnoliopsida; Malpighiales; Euphorbiaceae.